UUUUGGACAAUGGGGGCAACCCUGAUCCAGCCAUGCCGCGUGAGUGAAGAAGGCCUUCGGGUUGUAAAGCUCUUUCGGACGCACCGAAAUGGGCGGGACUAAUACUCCUGUCUGAUGACGGUACCGUAAGAAGAAGCACCGGCUAACUACGUGCCAGCAGCCGCGGUAAUACGUAGGGUGCGAGCGUUAAUCGGAAUUACUGGGCGUAAAGCGUGCGCAGGCGGUUUCGUAAGCUGGAGGUGAAAUCCCCGGGCUUAACCUGGGAAUGGCCUUCAGGACUGCGAGGCUAGAGUGCGGCGGAGGGAGGUGGAAUUCCACGUGUAGCAGUGAAAUGCGUAGAGAUGUGGAGGAACACCGAUGGCGAAGGCAGCCUCCUGGGCCAGCACUGACGCUCAUGCACGAAA
This 404-nucleotide ribosomal RNA is filed under the name uncultured bacterium. RNAcentral's name for it is "bacterial SSU rRNA". It matches the Rfam family "Bacterial small subunit ribosomal RNA", at positions 362 to 758 of the family's 1533-position model. The record is from RNAcentral.